CACCUACUCCCUCCGUCCUAAAAUUCUUGUCUUAGCUUUGUCUAUAAAUGAAUGUAUUUAAAUACUAAAACUUGACUAGAUACUUUCAUAUCUAAUAAACAAAUCUAAGACGAGAAUUUUAGGAUCGAGGGAGUACAAG
Molecule: non-coding RNA, 139 nt
Organism: Hordeum vulgare subsp. vulgare (domesticated barley)
Lineage: Eukaryota; Viridiplantae; Streptophyta; Magnoliopsida; Poales; Poaceae
Source: Rfam